GGGGAAUUAGGGUUCGAUUCCGGAGAGGGAGCCUGAGAAACGGCUACCACAUCUAAGGAAGGCAGCAGGCGCGCAAAUUACCCAAUCCUAAUACAGGGAGGUAGUGACAAGAAAUAACAAUACAGGACUUUUUGGUUUUGUAAUUGGAAUGAGUUAAGUAUAAACCCCUUUACAAGUAUCAAUUGGAGGGCAAGUCUGGUGCCAGCAGCCGCGGUAAUUCCAGCUCCAAUAGCGUAUAUUAAAGUUGUUGCAGUUAAAAAGCUCGUAGUUGGAUUUCUGUUAAUAAUUUAUAUAAAAUAUUUUGAAUAUUUAUAUAACAUUAACAUAAUUCAUAUUACUAUAUUUUUUAGUAUAUGAAAUUUUACUUUGAGAAAAUUAGAGUGCUUAAAGCAGGCAUAUGCCUUGAAUACUCCAGCAUGGAAUAAUAUUAAAGAUUUUUAUCUUUCUUAUUGGUUCUAAGAUAAGAAUAAUGAUUAAU
Molecule: ribosomal RNA, 478 nt
Filed under: Cryptosporidium parvum
Lineage: Eukaryota; Apicomplexa; Conoidasida; Eucoccidiorida; Cryptosporidiidae
Description: SSU rRNA
Rfam family: Eukaryotic small subunit ribosomal RNA
Source: RNAcentral